GAUGAACGCUGGCGGCGUGCCUAAUACAUGCAAGUCGAGCGAACAGACGAGGAGCUUGCUCCUCUGACGUUAGCGGCGGACGGGUGAGUAACACGUGGAUAACCUACCUAUAAGACUGGGAUAACUUCGGGAAACCGGAGCUAAUACCAUAAUAUAUUGAACCGCAUGGUUCAAUAGUGAAAGACGGUUUUGCUGUCACUUAUAGAUGGAUCCGCGCCGCAUUAGCUAGUUGGUAAGGUAACGGCUUACCAAGGCAACGAUGCGUAGCCGACCUGAGAGGGUGAUCGGCCACACUGGAACUGAGACACGGUCCAGACUCCUACGGGAGGCAGCAGUAGGGAAUCUUCCGCAAUGGGCGAAAGCCUGACGGAGCAACGCCGCGUGAGUGAUGAAGGUCUUCGGAUCGUAAAACUCUGUUAUUAGGGAAGAACAAAUGUGUAAGUAACUAUGCACGUCUUGACGGUACCUAAUCAGAAAGCCACGGCUAACUACGUG
RNAcentral lists this ribosomal RNA (495 nucleotides) under uncultured bacterium. Its description in RNAcentral is "partial 16S ribosomal RNA". It matches the Rfam family "Bacterial small subunit ribosomal RNA", at positions 28 to 507 of the family's 1533-position model. The record is from RNAcentral.